Molecule: transfer RNA, 77 nt
Filed under: Methylopila capsulata
Lineage: Bacteria; Pseudomonadati; Pseudomonadota; Alphaproteobacteria; Hyphomicrobiales; Methylopilaceae
Also listed under: 2 other names
Description: tRNA-Arg
Rfam family: tRNA
About the family: Transfer RNA (tRNA) molecules are approximately 80 nucleotides in length. Their secondary structure includes four short double-helical elements and three loops (D, anti-codon, and T loops).
Source: RNAcentral
GGCCCCGUAGCUCAGCCGGAUAGAGCACCAGCCUUCUAAGCUGAUGGUCGGUGGUUCGAAUCCACCCGGGGUCGCCA